This 77-nucleotide transfer RNA is filed under the name Candidatus Latescibacterota bacterium. Its description in RNAcentral is "tRNA-Val". It matches the Rfam family "tRNA". From Rfam's summary of the family: Transfer RNA (tRNA) molecules are approximately 80 nucleotides in length. Their secondary structure includes four short double-helical elements and three loops (D, anti-codon, and T loops). Lineage: Bacteria; Pseudomonadati; Candidatus Latescibacterota. The record is from RNAcentral.
GGGCGAUUAACUCAGUUGGUUAGAGUGCCUGCCUUACAAGCAGGAUGUCACUGGUUCGAAUCCGGUAUCGCCCACCA